UGGAUUUCUGCCAAUGCCAUCACGGGU
RNAcentral lists this non-coding RNA (27 nucleotides) under Mus musculus (house mouse). Lineage: Eukaryota; Metazoa; Chordata; Mammalia; Rodentia; Muridae. The record is from RNAcentral.